RNAcentral lists this ribosomal RNA (763 nucleotides) under uncultured Streptococcus sp. Its description in RNAcentral is "bacterial SSU rRNA". It matches the Rfam family "Bacterial small subunit ribosomal RNA", at positions 28 to 776 of the family's 1533-position model. Lineage: Bacteria; Bacillati; Bacillota; Bacilli; Lactobacillales; Streptococcaceae. The record is from RNAcentral.
GACGAACGCUGGCGGCGUGCCUAAUACAUGCAAGUAGAACGCUGAAGGAGGAGCUUGCUUCUCCGGAUGAGUUGCGAACGGGUGAGUAACGCGUAGGUAACCUGCCUGGUAGCGGGGGAUAACUAUUGGAAACGAUAGCUAAUACCGCAUAAGAGUAGAUGUUGCAUGACAUUUGCUUAAAAGGUGCAAUUGCAUCACUACCAGAUGGACCUGCGUUGUAUUAGCUAGUUGGUGGGGUAACGACUCACCAAGGCGACGAUACAUAGCCGACCUGAGAGGGUGAUCGGCCACACUGGGACUGAGACACGGCCCAGACUCCUACGGGAGGCAGCAGUAGGGAAUCUUCGGCAAUGGACGGAAGUCUGACCGAGCAACGCCGCGUGAGUGAAGAAGGUUUUCGGAUCGUAAAGCUCUGUUGUAAGAGAAGAACGAGUGUGAGAGUGGAAAGUUCACACUGUGACGGUAUCUUACCAGAAAGGGACGGCUAACUACGUGCCAGCAGCCGCGGUAAUACGUAGGUCCCGAGCGUUGUCCGGAUUUAUUGGGCGUAAAGCGAGCGCAGGCGGUUAGAUAAGUCUGAAGUUAAAGGCUGUGGCUUAACCAUAGUACGCUUUGGAAACUGUUUAACUUGAGUGCGAGAGGGGAGAGUGGAAUUCCAUGUGUAGCGGUGAAAUGCGUAGAUAUAUGGAGGAACACCGGUGGCGAAAGCGGCUCUCUGGCUUGUAACUGACGCUGAGGCUCGAAAGCGUGGGGAGCAAACAGG